AUUGAACGCUAGCGGGAUGCCUUACACAUGCAAGUCGAACGGAGUGGCGAACGGGUGAGUAAUGUCUCGGAACGUGCCCAGUAGCGGGGGAUAACUACGCGAAAGCGUAGCUAAUACCGCAUACUACUGGAGCGGCCGAUAUCGGAUUAGCGAGUUGGUGGGGUAACGGCCACCCAAGUCGACGAUCCGUAGCCGGUUUGAGAGGACGACCAUCCACACUGGGACUUAGACACGGCCCGGCCGCCUACGGGCGGCAGCAGGUGGGAAUUUUCGACAAUGGGGGACACUCUAGUCGAGCCGUCCCGCGACUGCGUUGAAGGCCUGCGGGUUGUCAAGCACUUUUGGCAGGAAAGCGGUACCGGCAGAAUAAGUACCGACUGACUAAGUGCCAGCAGCCGCGGUAAUUC
Molecule: ribosomal RNA, 407 nt
Filed under: uncultured bacterium
Lineage: Bacteria
Description: partial 16S ribosomal RNA
Rfam family: Bacterial small subunit ribosomal RNA
Source: RNAcentral